Molecule: ribosomal RNA, 448 nt
Filed under: uncultured bacterium
Lineage: Bacteria
Description: bacterial SSU rRNA
Rfam family: Bacterial small subunit ribosomal RNA
Source: RNAcentral
GAUGAACGCUAGCGGCGCGCCUAACACAUGCAAGUCGAGCGGACUUGGGAGGCUUGCUUCCCAAGUUAGCGGCGAACGGGCGAGAACAGAGUUCGUACCUGCCCCGAAGUCGGGAAUAACGCGCCGAAAGGCGCGCUAAUGCCGGAUGGACCCGAGAGGGUAAAGCAGCAAUGCGCUUCGGGGAGGGGCGUGCUUCCUAUCAGCUAGUCGGCGGGGUAACGGCCCACCGAGGCGACGACGGGUAGCCGGUCUGAGAGGACUGCCGGCCGCAAUGGGACUGAGACACGGCCCAUACUCCUACGGGAGGCAGCAGUGAGGAAUCUUCCGCAAUGGGCGAAAGCCUGACGGAGCGACGCCGCGUGGAGGAUGAAGCGUUUGUUCGCGUAAACUCCUUUUCUGCGGGAAAAUGAUGAUGGUACCGCAGGAAUAAGGGACGGCUAACUACGUG